CUCGCUUUUCACCUCGAAGACGCCGAAGGAACGCAUCAUUACAGUUCUUUUUUUUUUGUAUCGCGCGGCACCUCGUCUGUUGCUUGCCCAAAAGCAGCAUCAUCAUCUCAGGCAAUUUCGAUGGUGGCGUGUGCCCGCCUGGUUCUACGUUUACUUGGCUUUACGGAGACAGCACGUGUGCGUAUGUGUGUGUAUGCGCUGCAAUCAAAGGAGAUCCCGUGAGUAACGGAAGAAGCAUGUCUCUGAAGGAAGCAGACGUCACCUUAGCGGACGGUGCACCACGGCGGUCAUUCCUCGAACUUAACCGAGAGGACCAGCGAGUGAUCUGCAACAGCCGAGAAAAGGAGGAUUCGCUGCCGUUCGUGUCCUUGCCACGCGUGAACGUCACUCGCACGCUCCCGACGCGCACUUCGGAGCAGCAACGCGACAUGUUCGCGAGCGGCGAAUCCGUCCAACUGGAUUUCCCAGCGUACUCGUCGACGGAGAUGGUGGUGACGCCGCCUUUCAUCCCUACGGAGCGAGAGCACAAUUUUUUUAUGAAGGACGAGGACAGUCAGAGUGUCGGCGACGGCGACGCACACAGGACAGUCAGACCGGGACUCGACAGCGCGCAGAGCUCCACAGUCACCUUCGACGCCGUGAUGCCGCGCAGAAUGAUCGCGACGGCGGCCGUGGUGACACCCUCGGCGGGAGCGCAGGACACCACUGAUGUGCGUACCGCAGCCUCCUUCGGCCUGCCUUCAGCCGCGCUGGAGGGCCAAGACACUCCGCGUCAGCCGGAGCAGCCGGCGACGUACACGAAGACGGCGAUGCACGGCUGCCCGCAGGGCAAGCGCCGCUUCUCCCUCGUUGCCAAGGCACCAGCGUUUGACGCGGCGAGAGAGCAGCAAAGGAACUUGAUCACCAUGGGUCUCGGCGGGUCGCUGCCGCUGUACAAGUUCGAGGAAAUCCCGUCUUGGCAGAGGUACAACCCGUAUAUCCGCAGCCGCUACCGGGCCUUCUACACGGCCGAGAUGUGUUUCAAGAGCCUCCUAGGCUGGCAUAACGAGACCAUCAACGUGUACUCGCACCUUCUUACCUUCGUCGUCUUUCUGGUCAUGACCGCGCUGCUGUACACCACGGUGCUCAGCAAAGCCAUCACCGCCCCCUCUCUCAGAGCGUCCAAGCUGAUAUACGGCAUCUUCUGCUUCGGCUCCCUCAUCUGCAUGCUGAACAGCACCAUAUAUCAUCUCUUCAACAGCCACUGCAGCUGCCGCGUCAUGACAGCGAUGGGACGGCUGGACUUCAUAGGCAUAACGGCCCUCAUCGUGUCCAGCUUCUUGCCUCCGCUGUACGUCAUGUUUCACUGCCACCCCGUAGCGCGAACCAUGUACAUUACCGCGAUCUUGCUGCUCAGCACGGCCGGCAUUAUAGGCCCGUGGACGGAUUUGUUUCAUAAACAUGUACAGGUGCGGUUGAGCGUGUUUCUUGGACUGGGUUUUAGCGGUCUGGCGCCAGCCCUCCACAGCCUCGCGAUUUUGCCCAUGAACGCAGCGAGCGGGUCGACGCUGCUUGGCAUUUGCCUGAUGGUGGUUCUCUACUGCAGCGGCGUGGCUUUCUACGUGACCCAGUUCCCGGAGUCUCGCUACCCUGGCCACUUCGACUGCUGGCUCUCCAGUCAUCAGCUUUGGCACUUCUUCGUCUCCAUGGCCGCCCUGGUGCACUACUGCAACUGCGUUAGCAUGUACCAGAUGUGGCAAGUGAGCGAUGGCAUGUGCGGAUGAGCUCCACCAUGUCUUGUCGGUAGAAAGCGGCCUGUUCGGUGACACGUGGGGUCGUCACGCCGGUGGCUAACUGCAGGCAAUGGUUCCUCGAGCCCACCUCCCACCCUUCCUCUCCCUUCACACGCAGACGCGCAGUCGCCCGCGCUAUCGCCACCCUAACAUUCCCACCUGCAUGCUGCGAUGCCCACCUGUGCGAGCAGUCGUUCGAUCCCUCUGCGAUCACGUGGCGGGAGCGAUGCCCUCUGUGCCAGCCAUCACAAUCCGGUGCAUGUGUGUGUGUGUGUGUGUGUAAAAUGGAGUUGCUGCCAUUGUUUGCUUGCCCUUUGCCUCUCUCCCCUUCCCUAAUGAAAGGGGGGUUGGUGGGGUGGACAAACCCUUCAGUGCGUGGUGGCAUGGCAUGGCACGGCUCCGUACCUCCCUCCAUCCCCUUCCACUCGGUGUGGGGAAGCCGAGCAGCCCUCCCCCAUCCCCCUGCCAAAUGCCGAGCUGCUUCUGGCGAUGAGACGGUCACGCGCCUACGAGGCAGGGGCGUCGCGGUGAUUUAUCGCUACUAAUACCGGCACUAAGGUCCUGGAUGGCGUUGCGUCGGAGCGACCGGCGACGGUGAGCACUCGUGUGCCAUCCAUAUGAUUAGGCAGAGUGCCCACCUGACUCGGACGCAUCCCACCCCCGGCCCUCACGCGCUGCCCACUGGUGUCGGGGGAGCCUGAGUGCCACCGCGCGGGGGAUGCGCCACGUGGCGACCGGCACGAUGGGGGAGCGGCUAUGGGGUGGUUGGGUAUCGCACGAGGCAGAGGCCGUGCUCUCCGAUGACUGGGUCGGCGCACUGCUGUUUCACGUCUGUCUGUGGCCGCUUCGCACCACGCGAUGUGGAGCCUGUGACAGGGCCGCGGGAGCGGUGAUGUAGCGUUUGAUCUCGUGCUUCGUGGCAGCGAACGGGCACGUCGAAUAUGACACAAAAAACAAAACAGAGAGACGCGGCUGCAGCCUCCCCUUUCUUCCGUCCCCUUUCCACUCCCCCUCUGCCUCCUUCCCUCGCUGCUGCUACCAG
RNAcentral lists this unclassified non-coding RNA (2814 nucleotides) under Leishmania donovani. RNAcentral describes it as "gene:LdHU3.36.7640(CDS-product:adiponectin_recept or_protein_1_putative)". Lineage: Eukaryota; Euglenozoa; Kinetoplastea; Trypanosomatida; Trypanosomatidae. The record is from RNAcentral.